Molecule: unclassified non-coding RNA, 363 nt
Filed under: uncultured bacterium
Lineage: Bacteria
Description: contains 16S-23S intergenic spacer region
Source: RNAcentral
UCCCUGUUACCAGGGCAGUCUAGUUAGAAAAAUACAACUAACUAUAAGGGUUGCGCUCGUUGAAGGACUUAACCUAACAUCUCACGACACGAGCUGAAGACGGCCAUGCAUCACCUGUCACUUGGUUCCCGAAGGCACACUCUGCUUUCGCAGAACUUCCAAGGAUGUCAAACCUGGGUAAGGUUCUUCGCUUACCAUCGAAUUAAACAACACGCUCCACCGCUUGUGCGGGUCCCCGUCAAUUCCUUUAUGUUUUAGUCUUGCGACCGUACUCCACAGGCGGGAUGCUUAACGCGUUAGCUUCGCUACGACGCGGGUCGAUACGCAUCACAGCUAGCAUCCAUAGUUUACGGCGUGGACUAC